AGAGUUUGAUCCUGGCUCAGGAUGAACGCUGGCGGCGUGCUUAACACAUGCAAGUCGAACGAUGAUCCGGUGCUUGCAUCGGGGAUUAGUGGCGAACGGGUGAGUAACACGUGAGUAACCUGCCCUUAACUCUGGGAUAAGCCUGGGAAACUGGGUCUAAUACCGGAUAUGACUCCUCAUCGCAUGGUGGGGGGUGGAAAGCUUUUUUGUGGUUUUGGAUGGACUCGCGGCCUAUCAGCUUGUUGGUGAGGUAAUGGCUCACCAAGGCGACGACGGGUAGCCGGCCUGAGAGGGUGACCGGCCACACUGGGACUGAGACACGGCCCAGACUCCUACGGGAGGCAGCAGUGGGGAAUAUUGCACAAUGGGCGCAAGCCUGAUGCAGCGACGCCGCGUGAGGGAUGACGGCCUUCGGGUUGUAAACCUCUUUCAGUAGGGAAGAAGCGAAAGUGACGGUACCUGCAGAAGAAGCGCCGGCUAACUACGUGCCAGCAGCCGCGGUAAUACGUAGGGCGCAAGCGUUAUCCGGAAUUAUUGGGCGUAAAGAGCUCGUAGGGCGGUUUGUCGCGUCUGCCCGUGAAAGUCCGGGGCUCAACUCCGGAUCUGCGGUGGGUACGGGCAGACUAGAGUGAUGUAGGGGAGACUGGAAUUCCUGGUGUAGCGGUGAAAUGCGCAGAUAUCAGGAGGAACACCGAUGGCGAAGGCAGGUCUCUGGGCAUUAACUGACGCUGAGGAGCGAAAGCAUGGGGAGCGAACAGGAUUAGAUACCCUGGUAGUCCAUGCCGUAAACGUUGGGCACU
RNAcentral lists this ribosomal RNA (800 nucleotides) under uncultured bacterium. RNAcentral's name for it is "bacterial SSU rRNA". It matches the Rfam family "Bacterial small subunit ribosomal RNA", at positions 8 to 817 of the family's 1533-position model. The record is from RNAcentral.